This 235-nucleotide unclassified non-coding RNA is filed under the name uncultured Russulales. RNAcentral describes it as "sequence contains ITS1". Lineage: Eukaryota; Fungi; Basidiomycota; Agaricomycetes; Agaricales. The record is from RNAcentral.
AUGAAUUUGAAAGGGGGGUUGUUGCUGGCUCUACUGAGCAUUUUUGUGCACACCCCCUGAUCUCAUCCACUUUACACCUGUGCACCCUUGCAUGAGUUUCUGUGGAAAGAAAAAAAGGGCCUCUUAAAAAAAGGGGGGGCUGCUUGCUUCUUUUCCAGAACUUGUGUAUUUUAUCACAAACUCUUGUAUGUUAUAGAAUGUAAUCACACUUUGCUGUAAAAAUGCAAACUUUGUA